GCCCAGCUAGCUCAGUCGGUAGAGCAUGAGACUCUUAAUCUCAGGGUUGUGGGUUCAAGCCCCACGUUGGGUG
RNAcentral lists this transfer RNA (73 nucleotides) under Neotoma lepida (desert woodrat). It matches the Rfam family "tRNA". From Rfam's summary of the family: Transfer RNA (tRNA) molecules are approximately 80 nucleotides in length. Lineage: Eukaryota; Metazoa; Chordata; Mammalia; Rodentia; Cricetidae. The record is from Rfam by way of RNAcentral.